Molecule: long non-coding RNA, 7468 nt
Filed under: Sorghum bicolor (sorghum)
Lineage: Eukaryota; Viridiplantae; Streptophyta; Magnoliopsida; Poales; Poaceae
Description: long non-coding RNA (SBIC_LNC005694)
Rfam family: MIR5565 microRNA precursor family (bases 4505-4613)
Source: RNAcentral
GUAUAAAAUCCCCAAUCCCCGAUGUUAAGAUACUACUCAGCAUGCAUGAUACUUCAAGAAUCAAGAUAAUAGCCAUACCCUGCUUCCUACCUGCUCCUUAGAGUACCCAAAUUUGGAAAGGUACUCAAUGGCAUUCAGAACUGCACGUUUGUAGGCAACAGAUGCAUCAAGAAAAUGCUGCUUCCCAGACUCAUCUACACUGAUGCCCUCAAACACCAACCACUCUGAGAAACGUGGCUCAACAGGACCUAUCUCAAAGAUAGGGCUCACAUGAAGUGGUGUUGGACCAACUGGGGUUAAGUAUUCCUUCAUCCCACCUCUUAUGAUCUCACACCUAUACAGGGUGCAAGGAAUUUUUAGAAGCAGGCAACGAAAAGUGUAAACCAACGAGCCGUUUUGGGCUGUUUAAUAAACUCAGGUGGGGAAUCUCCCCCCCGUUGACCCUCAAAAAAAAAGUGUAUUUUACAUAGGCAGAUUUUAUUUAUCCAACAACGCCCACCACGUGCCUCCGUGUUAGUCAGGAAUAGGAUGUUAUGGUGUUGUGGGUAUUUUCUGUGUUUUAAUCUGUGCCUAUGUAAGAUUUGCAGGCCUGAUUUGCCUUAUAAACUAAGCCAACUCUAUUAUUGAGAAAGGCAGAGCUCCUGCCAUUACUUUGAAAAAAAAUUGUUUAUCCAAUUGCGCAUUCAUAAGAGUGUGGUUCAGAAACAAUUGAUUCCGACUACACACAAAUGGAGUGAGUUUUUAGAAUACCAGGGACGAACCCCUGCCCACUGCAAAUGGAGUGAGUUUAAUCCCAGCAAAUAAUGCACUGUGCCAUAAUAUAUAUUAACUAUAAAUCACUAAGGUCCAUAACUUCUUAUGAUUAUAGGAUAGAAGCAUCAAUUAAAGCAAUUCCAUGGAACAGAAUAUGCCAAAAUCUGACAAUAGAUUUUCUAAUCCUAUGAGUUCACUUAUUCAUAUUGUACAUUUGCUAUCUCAGAAGUUCUAUGCAAGAAGCACUGAAGAUAGCUGGUGCUAGUAUUACUGAACUAGUUUCUUUAUUAAAUAUAUGAUGGAAUCUUAAUAUUAAGUUUCCUAACACUGGUGGAUCCAAUUUUGACGCAUUGUAUAUCAUAAAACAUUGUAUAUCAUGUAGUAUAAAGUGUAAAUAAGAACAAAAUUUAUUACUUGAGCUCAAGGAAUCCACUCAUUUCAAUUGCUCCACACAACGAAAUUUCACCAUCGCCCUGGGAGAAGUGCAUAUCACCAGUGCUAAGAUUUGCUCCUUCAACAAAUACUGGUAGAUAAACUUUGGAGCCUCUACUUAGAUUCUUUAUGUCACAAUUCCCUCCAUUUUCCCUUCCAGCAAUAGUUCUGGCUGCUUCAUUUGCAAUUUUGUGCCAUUCAGCAGUCCCUUCUUGGACCUGCAUGGCAUUGUAUACAUCACAAACAUGGUACUGCAGAUUAGAGAUGCUUUUGGGUGGCAUGACUUUCCGACGUCAAAACAUAAUAUCAUGUAUGAUUGAUUGCCAAGGAGGCUGGAAGUCCCUCGGAGACUUGUGUUAAUUUUCUUUGCCGCCCUUUCAUGGGCAAUUUGGAAAAAUAGGAACAGUAUGGUUAUUCAGAAAGUUUUCCCUGCAAACCCUGAUGUGGUACUUUACAACGCAAUCACCCUUCUGCAAAUGUGGAGAGAGCUUACGAAGGACGCCGACAAGAUACAAUCUUCUAAGAUAGUGGAGGGCCUAGAGACAUGGAUCAGCAAGCUUGAUCGGCUUCAAACUUUUAAUUCAGAAAUUGCUAUCUUGUAAUAGUGUUUCAUGUUGAGGAUGUUAGUAGUGUGGCUUGGUUGCUAUCUGUUUUGUCUUUUCACGUUCUCAUAAACUGGUAUCACCAGUAUGUAAACUCUAAUUGCUUUCUCAAAAGCAGAGGUAAUCUCCUUUCAAAAAAAAAAUGGUACUGCAGCCACACACUUCAGAUCUGCUAGCUUAAGAUCUGCACACAAAACCUUUUACUUGUGCUCUAGGAAAUGUAAAAAGAUUAAAGUGAAAAACAAAUGAUCAUGCCUUCCCAAGUAAGCAAUUGUCAGGAGUCGGUAAAGGAACAAGGGGCCUCUGGUGUAGAACUUCACACAGUGUAAGAGUCUCUGGCCUUGUCUCAGACAAUCUUUUUUCUCUUUCAUUCCAUAUAUUAAGAAGCUCAACUGAUGGUGCAGUUCCCACUACACCAGGAUGAGUUAUUCCAGGAAAACGAACACCUGGUAUAUGCAAAAAUCGAAUUAUUGAAGGAUCCAAAUCUUGAAAGCUUCGCUCACAGCAACAAGAAGAAACUGUACCUGGUAUCUGAGGGGAGUAUGCGUAAAUUCCUUCGAAAUACCAAAUGGCUUUUCUUGUGCUAGGGAAGUGGUCAGUUAAGAAUCCACCUCCAUUCUCCCUUUCAAGUAUUGCAGUAUAACCCCACUCGUCGCCAGGAAGUGGGCCAAGGUUGCAGAUCUCUACCGCGAGAAGAUCACCUGGUGAAGCUGGAACCCCUUCAGAAUCAACUAUCCUUAGUGGCCCACUAAGAUAAUGAGCCUGUGGAAUAUCUGUAGUCAGUUUGGCUCACAAUAGACGAAGCACUGGAACAAAGGGAAAAUUAAAUGACAACUCCAGCAGAAGGAUAAAAAAAAUACAAACUUACAACUGUGAAAUCCAUGAAUUUCAGAUCGUCUGCAGAGUUAUCAUCCCUAACCCGCCCUCCACUCCAAUCCACCAUCUCGACACGGAACAAUUCCCCUUCGGUUACAUCAGCAACAGGAGGGAUAUCCGGAUGCCAGCGGUUGUGGAGAGGGACCUUUUGCUCCCAUGGCUGCUUCUUGACAUCUAUGGGCACUACCAGUCUAGGAGUCAGAGGAGCCAUGUUUCUUACAGUAUCUCCUCAAGAGCUUCUUCCCUUUGGAAGCUUUGUGCAGCUCUUUAUAAUGGUAGGAUAGGCAUGUUGAUGAAUCUGCUAAUGGUAAAAACAGGUGUUUGGAGUUCUAAGUCAGUAUCAAGUCAAUCACUAUAAGGCCUUGUUUAGUUCCGAAAAGAUUUCGGAUUUCGGUACCGUAGCACUUUCGCUACUUUCGUUUGUUUGUGGCAAAUAUUAUUCAAUUAUAGACUAACUAGGAUUAAAAGAUUUGUCUCGCGAUUUACAAGCAAACUGUGUAAUUAGUUUUUGUUUUCGUCUAUAUAUAAAACUUCAUGCAUGUACCGCAAGAUUCGAUGUGAUAGAAAAUCUUAAAAAUUUUUUGGUUUUCGGGGUGAACCAAACAAGGCCUAAGAUCAGGUAGGAAUUUAUUGUUGGUCUGGCCCAUCCCUGUAGACUAUCCAGAGCCAAGACGGUGAUGUAGGCCUUGUCCUUGUUUAGUUCCAAAAUAUUUUCCAAAAUCGACACGGUAGCUCUUUCGUUUGUAUUUGACAAAUAUUGUCCAAUCAUAGACUAAGUAGACUCAAAAGAUUCGUCUCGUCAAUUUCUACCAAACUGUGCAAUUAGUUUUUAUUUUUGUCUAUAUUUAAUACUUCAUGCAUGUGUCUAAAGAUUUGAUGUGACGAGAAAUCUGAAAAAUUUUGCAAAAUUUUUUGGAAACUAAACAAGGCCCUUGUUUAGUUUCAAUUUUUUUUGGUUUUGGAUACUGUAGCAUUUUUGUUUUUAUUUGACAACUAUUGUUUAAUCAUGGACUAACUAAGCUCAAAAGAUUUAUCUCGUGAUUUAUAAAUAAACUGUGUAAUUAGUUUUUGUUUUCGUCUAUAUUUAAUACUCCAUGCAUGUGCCGCAAGAUUUGACGUGAUGAAAAAUCUUGAAAAGUUUUUUAUUUUUUGGGUAAACUAAACAAGGCCUUAUUGUCUUGUUCUAGAGCAGUACCAACCAACUUGGCUUUGUCUCGUCCAUUUGUGUUUUCCACAGGCUACAACAUGCAACACUUACUCCCUAUGUCCUUUUUUUAAUUGUCGCCGUUGGUGUGUGUGCCACAAGUUUGACUCGAUUUGUAGAAAAUACAUGUAAUAUUUGUAUCUCUAAAUAAAUUUGUUAAAAAACUAGAUUCAAAGAUCUUUCUAAUGAUACUAAUUAUGUAUUAUAAAUAUUAAUAUUUUUUAAUAUAUAAUUGUCGACAUUUGUUUUUCGGGAAGCACAAGCAACAAUUAAAAAGGGACCGAGGGAGUAUGUACACUGGUGCACAAAAUUGUUUUUUUUUGCAGAUGCCAACGUAACCCGAAUUUCCAUCCCCGCAACUCUAGGGGAUGCCACACUCACAUACAAAGUUUUCCUUCCUGCUAAACUGGACAACACCAUACAAGAUGGGAUAAUAAUAAUGACCGGGGCUUUCCUGCCCUGAAACUCUAAAAAAAUAAUAUAGAGCUGGCUUGAAGAAAUUCUGCAAGUAGUAUGUAGUAGAUGUUGCUAACAGUGUGUGUCGGUAUCUUGUGUGUGGAAGGUAGAGUGGAUCUUUCGCAAUUGCUACUUCGCUCCAACCACUACCUGGCUCUUUCAUAUUAGGUCUUGUUUGGAUGUUAUCGGAUUCACCUCAUUCCAGAUGUGUUGUAGUGGAUUGAGGUGGAAUUUAGUUUAAGUUCCACUCCAACCCAUCCCAACAUAUGUGAAUUGAUGCGAAUCCGACUACAUCCAAACGAGACCUUAUAGUUGUUUUUUUUUUCCUGGUGGACACCACUGAAGCGUGGUUCUUUGUCAAGCACACUGUGCUGGACCCUUCUGAGACGGUGAGACCUCGACUCUAGGGGAUGUCACACAAACGUCACAUACAACGUUCUGCCUUCCUGCUAAACUGGACAAGUGGACAAGACCAUAGAAGAAGGGGCAACCUAGAGCUGGCUUCUCUUGAAAAAAAUCUGCAACUUGCUAGUAUGUACCUAAAAGUUCAAGAUCUAUUCGAAGAAGCAGAGUUGAGAAGUACUUCUGCAGAAAGCUACAUUAGUAUUUCAAUUUAAGAGUUAUUGGAAGUAUUGUAUAACUUUCCUAUUACAAGAUAUAAUUGCCAGUCUUGAGCCAACAGUGGAAAUACAAAGUUUUACCUACCAUUUAAUACAGUUUUAUUAAUCCAAAUCUCUAUUCAGCAUACAGUUGGUAAAGCUUGAAAAUAAAUAAUAAAGGAUUGCAUAAAAUAAGAGUUAAAGACUAAAUUGAUUUACACAACCAAAAAUAUAUGUUAUCAUUUAUCUGUGCUAUCACAAAGAUGCUUCAUCUUAUUAACCUUUUAAAUGUCAUAAAGUGUGUGUUCAGCUUCCAAACCAUUCGUGAUCUAGCUGGUAGUGAAAGAAAGGGCAACAGUACAGAUUGACUGAACCACAACUCCACAAUGCUCAUUCCAUCAAAUAUCCACCACUCAUAUAUAGUUCUCUGAGUUGUCACGUGUCCUCUAACAUCAUCCUAAGGCUACAACCAGCAUCAUUUGUCAUUUGCCAAACUCAUUUCUUCACCCGCUUUAGGACUUCUUCAGCCUGCAGAGGCCUUUUCAGGAGUUCAGCAGCAUCUGUCUAUAGUAUGCUAGUACUGGAUUAACAGUGUGUGUUGGUUUAACAGUUAUGUGCAAGGUAGAGUGAAUCUGUCACAACUGCUACUUCGCUCCAGCCACUGCCAGCUGCCUGGUUCUUUCAUAUUAUACCAUCCUCACUUCACUGCUAGCUACAUACUUAUGUGUGAAGUCAUUUCUUUUUCUUUUUUUAACGAAAGUGUGAAGUCAUUUCUCGAGCUGAGCCUAUGACCAUAGUACCACUCUCCUCUCAGCAUGACAUCGACAAGAUCACGAACCCAAAUAAGGAAAUUUCUAGAGAGUAAAAUUAAUGCACAACUUUGUAGCAAUACAGACACAGACAAUAUGGCACCACUCAGGUGUCUCUGUCCUCAUACAUGAUGACUGCCUGACAAAUCAAAGGUCUACAUUAUGGAUUCCAGGUCAAGUACAUGAUGAUCCUUGGAAGUUGGAAAUAUCAAGAUGAUUAUUUUUGUGUAUAAAGUAGAAGGAUACGGCAUCAAUUUACAGAUCAUAUAUGCCCCUAGGGCGCCCUUGUACUACUUUGGUCUUGGGUGACAGGAAGACCAUUGUUUGAGCAGCUCAGGAGAUCUGGAAGUCUUAUCAAUUUUGGUCUCAGCCUUCCUCUCAAGUGCUUUGGCCUUAUAUCCUAUGUUAACAAUUGAAACGUUAUGCAGUGAAGUUAAGAAAAAAAGGAUCCAUGUAAAAGAAUACUUAUGAAGCAAUGACUAGUUUGCUAUAAACUAGGAGAAGGCCAAGUUUGAAUCGCGAAGUACUCCCUCCAUCCAAAAUUAUAAGACGUUUGACUUUUUUGACCUCAAGUUUGACCAUUCAAAAAAUUUGUACAGAGUCAAAUUUAAUUCAGUCUUGUAGAACUUUUAUUAAUAAACCAAGUCACAACCAAAAAAAAAGUAAAAUUUUUCACAAAUUUUUGAAUAAGAUGACUGGUCAAACUUAGUGUCAAAGAAGUCAAACGUCUUAUAAUUUGGGAUGGAUUGAGUAGUAAGCAAAUUCGAUCUGUCAUUACUGAAAAUAAUGUACUCUCUCUCUCUCUCUCUCUCUCUCUCUCUCUCUCUCUCUCUCUCCCCCUCUCCCUCUCCCUCUCCCUCUCUCUCUCCACCCUGGCUAUUGUGUCUGCUUCAUGUAACUCCCUCCCUCCCUCGCCAAGUUUGAAUCGCGAAGUAGUAAGCAAAUUCGAUCUGUCAUUACUGAAAAUAAUGUAUUCACCCUGGCUAUUGUGUCUUGUUCAUGUGACUCCCUCCCUCCCUCCCUCCCUCCCUCCCUCCUGUGACCGCCCCCACGGUUUUCCAAUUAAGAAGGAGAUUUUGUCUCCCAACUGAGAAAACCCCUGACCCCUGAACCCCGCUGCACACCCAGGACAGCAAGCCAUUGCUUGGGCCGGCCCACAAUCAACAAACCCCUGGUUGGACUGCAUCAUUGCCACAAGCCGGAUGCCCCACAGGAGGCGCGGCGAGGGGAUUUUUUUACCCCCGCCUGAAAAAUCGUUCCCACGGGGAGUCGAACUCAGAACCUGGGGGGUGCCGCCGAAAUUCCCUAACUACUUGGUCUAGAAUCCUUUUGUGAAAAUGAACAGUAGAGAAGGAACAACAACAAAUACAAUACACCACAGUAAAAAGGAAUAAGGAAAUUGUGUUGAUCUGUUAGAGGGCGAACCUGAUCAAAUAUUGCUGUAGGGAUGGCAAGAGUUGCCACUGCAUUAGGAGAGUCUACUAUUCCAGAGAUCCUACCCUCACAAGGACAGCAUGAUAGUAAGAGAUACACCUGUAUAAAAUCCCCCAAUGUUAAGGCAAUAUACAACAUAUAUGGUACUUAGAGGAUAAUCAUUAGUUACCCUACUGCCUACCUGCUCCUUGGAGUACCCAAAUCUGGAAAGGUACUCAAUGGCAUUCAGGACUGCACGCUUAUAAGCAACUGAUGCAUCAAGGAAAUGCUGCCGCCCAGAUUCAUCGACACUUAUGCCCUCAA